GGGUGCGAUCAUACCAGCACUCAUGUACUAGAUCCCAUCAGAACUCCAAAGUUAAGCGUGCUUGCGCAAGAGAAGACAGGCUUUGUUACAGAACUUC
Molecule: ribosomal RNA, 97 nt
Filed under: Cephalotus follicularis
Lineage: Eukaryota; Viridiplantae; Streptophyta; Magnoliopsida; Oxalidales; Cephalotaceae
Source: RNAcentral